RNAcentral lists this ribosomal RNA (488 nucleotides) under Elaunon bipartitus. RNAcentral's name for it is "partial 16S ribosomal RNA". It matches the Rfam family "Archaeal large subunit ribosomal RNA", at positions 1940 to 2656 of the family's 2987-position model. Lineage: Eukaryota; Metazoa; Arthropoda; Insecta; Dermaptera; Forficulidae. The record is from RNAcentral.
AAAGGUACGGUCUGCUCCCUGAUAGUUGCUAUUAAAGAGCCGCGGUAACCUGACCGUGCGAAGGUAGCAUAAUCAAUAGUCUUUUAAUUGAUGGCUGGAAUGAAUGAUUUAAUGAGGUUGGCACUGUCUCAAUAAAAAGGUUGAAUUUUAUUUUUUUGUUAAAAAGCGAAAAUAAAUUUAAAAGACGAGAAGACCCUGUAGAUUUUUACAAUGGAUUUUAUAAACGUUAAAGGGAGAAGGGUUAAGGUGGGUUAGGGAAAUUGUUUGGUUGGGGCGACAGGAAAGGAAAAAAAGCCUUUCUUUGCAUUUAAUACCAAUAGGUAAAUGAAGGACCCAAUACAUGUAGGUUGGAAAAAAGAAGAAGAUACCUCAGGGAUAACAGCGUAAUUUUUUUUGAGAGCCCAUAUCGACAAAAAAGAUUGCGACCUCGAUGUUGGAUUAAGAGUAACUCCGGGUGCAGAAGUUCGGGGAUCAGGUCUGUUCGACCU